RNAcentral lists this ribosomal RNA (699 nucleotides) under uncultured bacterium. RNAcentral describes it as "bacterial SSU rRNA". It matches the Rfam family "Bacterial small subunit ribosomal RNA", at positions 8 to 741 of the family's 1533-position model. The record is from RNAcentral.
AGAGUUUGAUCCUGGCUCAGAACGAACGCUGGCGGCAGGCUUAACACAUGCAAGUCGAAGGAUAAGCGGGACUUCGGUCCCGUGGAAACUGGCGCACGGGUGAGUAACGCGUGGGAAAUUACCUAGUGGUUCAGAAUAACCGCGGGAAACUGCGGCUAAUACUGAAUACGCCCCGAGGGGGAAAGAUUUAUCGCCAUUAGAUGUGCCCGCGUCGGAUUAGCUUGUUGGUGAGGUAACGGCUCACCAAGGCGACGAUCCGUAGCUGGUCUGAGAGGAUGAUCAGCCACACUGGGACUGAGACACGGCCCAGACUCCUACGGGAGGCAGCAGUGGGGAAUAUUGGACAAUGGGCGCAAGCCUGAUCCAGCCAUGCCGCGUGAGUGAAGAAGGCCCUAGGGUUGUAAAGCUCUUUCACCGGGGAAGAUAAUGACGGUACCCGGAGAAGAAGCCCCGGCUAACUCCGUGCCAGCAGCCGCGGUAAUACGGAGGGGGCUAGCGUUGUUCGGAAUUACUGGGCGUAAAGCGCGCGUAGGCGGCUUGCCAAGUUGGGGGUGAAAUCCCAGGGCUCAACCCUGGAACUGCCCUCAAAACUGGUUCGCUAGAGUCCGGGAGAGGUGAGUGGAAUUCCCAGUGUAGAGGUGAAAUUCGUAGAUAUUGGGAAGAACACCAGUGGCGAAGGCGGCUCACUGGACCGGUACU